AGCGUAGACGGCAAGGCAAGUCUGAUGUGAAAACCCAGGGCUUAACCCUGGGACUGCAUUGGAAACUGUCUGGCUCGAGUGCCGGAGAGGUAAGCGGAAUUCCUAGUGUAGCGGUGAAAUGCGUAGAUAUUAGGAAGAACACCAGUGGCGAAGGCGGCUCUCUGGACGGUAACUGACGUUGAGGCUCGAAAGCGUGGGGAGCAAACA
This 207-nucleotide ribosomal RNA is filed under the name uncultured bacterium. RNAcentral's name for it is "partial 16S ribosomal RNA". It matches the Rfam family "Bacterial small subunit ribosomal RNA", at positions 568 to 774 of the family's 1533-position model. The record is from RNAcentral.